CUACGGGAGGCAGCAGUGGGGAAUAUUGGACAAUGGGCGCAAGCCUGAUCCAGCAAUGCCGCGUGAGUGAAGACGGCCUUAGGGUUGUAAAACUCUUUCGCUAGAGAAGAUAAUGACUGUACCUAGUAAAGAAGUCCCGGCUAACUCCGUGCCAGCAGCCGCGGUAAUACGGAGGGGACUAGCGUUGUUCGGAAUUACUGGGCGUAAAGAGUUCGUAGGCGGACUGACAAGUUAGAGGUGAAAUCCCAGGGCUCAACCCUGGAACUGCCUUUAAAACUGUCGGUCUAGAGACCGGAAGAGGUUAGGGGAAUACCUAGUGUAGAGGUGAAAUUCGUAGAUAUUAGGUGGAACACCAGUGGCGAAGGCGCCUAACUGGUCCGGUACUGACGCUGAGGAACGGAAGCGUGGGGAGCAAAUAGGAUUAGAUACCCCCGUAGUC
This 439-nucleotide ribosomal RNA is filed under the name uncultured bacterium. RNAcentral's name for it is "partial 16S ribosomal RNA". It matches the Rfam family "Bacterial small subunit ribosomal RNA", at positions 339 to 795 of the family's 1533-position model. The record is from RNAcentral.